UCCCUUGUGGCUCAGUUGGUAAAGAAUCUGCCUGCAAGGCAGGAGACCCAGGUUUGAUUCCUGGGUUGGGAA
This 72-nucleotide transfer RNA is filed under the name Bos taurus (domestic cattle). It matches the Rfam family "tRNA". Rfam says of the family: Transfer RNA (tRNA) molecules are approximately 80 nucleotides in length. Their secondary structure includes four short double-helical elements and three loops (D, anti-codon, and T loops). Further hydrogen bonds mediate the characteristic L-shaped molecular structure. tRNAs have two regions of fundamental functional importance: the anti-codon, which is responsible for specific mRNA codon recognition, and the 3' end, to which the tRNAs corresponding amino acid is attached (by aminoacyl-tRNA synthetases). tRNAs cope with the degeneracy of the genetic code in two manners: having more than one tRNA (with a specific anti-codon) for a particular amino acid; and 'wobble' base-pairing, i.e. permitting non-standard base-pairing at the 3rd anti-codon position. Lineage: Eukaryota; Metazoa; Chordata; Mammalia; Artiodactyla; Bovidae. RNAcentral also lists the same sequence under 4 other names. The record is from Rfam by way of RNAcentral.